GACGAACGCUGGCGGCGUGCUUAACACAUGCAAGUCGAACGGAAAGGCCCUGCUUUUGUGGGGUGCUCGAGUGGCGAACGGGUGAGUAACACGUGAGUAACCUGCCCUUGACUUUGGGAUAACUUCAGGAAACUGGGGCUAAUACCGGAUAGGAGCUCCUGCUGCAUGGUGGGGGUUGGAAAGUUUCGGCGGUUGGGGAUGGACUCGCGGCUUAUCAGCUUGUUGGUGGGGUAGUGGCUUACCAAGGCUUUGACGGGUAGCCGGCCUGAGAGGGUGACCGGACACAGGGAGAGAGAGAUACGGCCGAGACUCCUGGGGGGGGCAGGAGGGGAGAAUAGUGCACAAGGGGGGGAAGCGUGAUGGAGAAACGCCGCGUGCGGGAAGGCGGCCUGGGGGUUGUAAACCGCUUGCGCCUGUGAAGAAGCGAGAGUGACGGUAAGGUGUAGAGAAGCACCGGAUAAAUACG
This 466-nucleotide ribosomal RNA is filed under the name uncultured bacterium. Its description in RNAcentral is "partial 16S ribosomal RNA". It matches the Rfam family "Bacterial small subunit ribosomal RNA", at positions 28 to 505 of the family's 1533-position model. The record is from RNAcentral.